Molecule: non-coding RNA, 764 nt
Organism: Camelina sativa (false flax)
Lineage: Eukaryota; Viridiplantae; Streptophyta; Magnoliopsida; Brassicales; Brassicaceae
Source: RefSeq, a predicted model, not a curated record
CAACACAAACAACUUCUCAAGUACGCACACACGCAAGCAAAAACAUAAAGUUAAAAAGAGCUUGCGGUGAUGGACAAGAAAAAGUCAGUAUCUGGUUCCUCUUCAUCUUCUUCAUCUUUGGAUCAUCUUUUCGGUCCAAGAGUCUCUCCUUCGUCUUCUUCAUCAUCAACAACAGGAUUGUUCAAUUCUAUUUUCCCACCAACCUCAACGGAGACGCAAGCAAACUUGGCAAGUCGAAAUGGAGCUGCCAAAUAUCCACCUACAAAUUUGGGGAUUCCAAAUGAGAGAGGAGAAAGGAGCAAAAAUAAGGAGAGAAAGAGUUACCAAAAUGAAGAAACACAACCACCAUGCAACUUGAGCUCAUCCAUAUACUAUGGAGGCCAAGAUAACUAUUCCUAUUCAACUACCAACCCUGAUGCUUAUAAGAAAGAUGGAGAGGAAGGCGAUUCUGAAAGUGCUCCAAGAGGAAACUGGUGGGAUGGAUCGCUUUAUUACUAAUUAGCAAACCCUAGCUGAUGAAGCACGAUCGAUAACGGCGUAAGUGGUAACUGGGACCUUAAUUAAGUGAAUAUGGAAGUUGACGUAUCCAAAUAUAUUAUAUCUACAAAUGUAAACUAAAAAACUUGUGAAAGUAUAUAUUAAGGAUCAAUCAUAAUCACUGAUUGAUACUCAUUUAUAUUACGUAUCUUCCCUUUAUGUAAAGUGUAUAAUGUAAUUACUUUCUCUCUAAGACCCUAGCUAGAUCUCUACUUGUAUAUAACUCG